Comamonadaceae bacterium CG2_30_57_122 is the source of this 222-nucleotide non-coding RNA. The record is from Rfam. NCBI's taxonomy places the organism in Bacteria, Pseudomonadati, Pseudomonadota, Betaproteobacteria, Burkholderiales, Comamonadaceae.
AAAGUCCCAAACAAUAAAGAAGUAGCGAUUCAUAUUGUCCCCGAGUCAUGCGUGACGUACUGCGAGGUACGGCGCGAAGCGUUGACAGGGGUACACAUAGGCCAGCCAUUGAGCCGCGAAAUGGACAUACCCCGAGUGCCGACACCGUGUCUGUGGUGCAAGGCAACACGACUGUGCGCGAUAAACGCGAGUGCACAGCCGACUCGGCGUGGUCAUAGAACC